GGCGAACGGGUGAGUAACGCGUGAGGAACCUGCCUCAAAGAGGGGGACAACAGUUGGAAACGACUGCUAAUACCGCAUAAGCCCACGACCCGGCAUCGGGUAGAGGGAAAAGGAGCAAUCCGCUUUGAGAUGGCCUCGCGUCCGAUUAGCUAGUUGGUGAGGUAACGGCCCACCAAGGCGACGAUCGGUAGCCGGACUGAGAGGUUGAACGGCCACAUUGGGACUGAGACACGGCCCAGACUCCUACGGGAGGCAGCAGUGGGGAAUAUUGCACAAUGGGGGAAACCCUGAUGCAGCGACGCCGCGUGGAGGAAGAAGGUCUUCGGAUUGUAAACUCCUGUUGUUGAGGAAGAUAAUGACGGUACUCAACAAGGAAGUGACGGCUAACUACGUGCCAGCAGCCGCGGUAAAACGUAGGUCACAAGCGUUGUCCGGAAUUACUGGGUGUAAAGGGAGCGCAGGCGGGAAGACAAGUUGGAAGUGAAAUCCAUGGGCUCAACCCAUGAACUGCUUUCAAAACUGUUUUUCUUGAGUAGUGCAGAGGUAGGCGGAAUUCCCGGUGUAGCGGUGGAAUGCGUAGAUAUCGGGAGGAACACCAGUGACGAAGGCGGCCUACUGGGCACCAACUGACGCUGAGGCUCGAAAGUGUGGGUAGCAA
Molecule: ribosomal RNA, 658 nt
Filed under: uncultured bacterium
Lineage: Bacteria
Description: bacterial SSU rRNA
Rfam family: Bacterial small subunit ribosomal RNA
Source: RNAcentral